Molecule: ribosomal RNA, 250 nt
Filed under: uncultured prokaryote
Description: partial 16S ribosomal RNA
Rfam family: Bacterial small subunit ribosomal RNA
Source: RNAcentral
UACGUAGGGGGCAAGCGUUAUCCGGAUUUACUGGGUGUAAGGGAGCGCAGGCGGUAGAUCAAGUAUGAUGUGAAAACCCAAGGCUUAACCAUGGGAAUGCAUCGGAAACUGGUUUACUUGAGUGUCGGAGAGGUAAGCGGAAUUCCUAGUGUAGCGGUGAAAUGCGUAGAUAUUAGGAGGAACACCAGUGGCGAAGGCGGAUUACUGGACGAUAUCUGACGCUGAGGCUCGAAAGCGUGGGGAGCAAACA